This is an RNA transcript of Syngnathus typhle (broad-nosed pipefish), 3607 nucleotides long. It is a transcript of the gene named glycine N-acyltransferase-like, with no coding region annotated. Lineage: Eukaryota; Metazoa; Chordata; Actinopteri; Syngnathiformes; Syngnathidae. The transcript has 10 exons. The record is from RefSeq and is a predicted model, not a curated record.
GUGUGGUUACAUAAGAAAAUGUGUAUAACUGCACCUGCACACCGGAGCUGAACAGUUUGAGACAAACCGUCGACUAAAAUGAUCAUCUUGAAGGCAUUCAAGGACCUGACGCUGAUGAAAAAUAUUCUUUAUCAAGAGUUACCCCAGUCCAUUAGUGUUCUUGGUGGAUUGCAUCAUAUUCUGCAAAACAAUGUGUUUCAACUAAAGAUGUGCGUCGACUCCUGGCCUACGUUCAGCACCGCCAUCUGCUACCGUCCAAAUAAGAUUAGGGGCAGUUUCAAGGAAAUCAGUGAGAAAUACACGAUUUUCACCAAAAGCCAAAACUCUUUAAGACGUCUGCUGACUGAUGACAAACUUCAAAUCAAGUGGAGGAACGGACUUGAAUUUGAAGUUUCAAAUAAUCACUCUCAAAUCAUCCGUGAAAUUGCAUCUCUCAGAGGAUUCCAUGUUAAGGAACAUGGAGGUCACCAUUCCUACAUCAACUACAACCCAGAGAAGUUGAACAUAUCGGAAAAGACAUCCACGCUAGCAACAUCUACUUUGAAUGAGUCCCAUGUGGACCUUGUGGUCCAACAGUUAUCUUUUGGAGGAAAGAAAGAGAACUUCAAUCGAAUAGAAGCCUAUAUCAAACAUCUGCCAAACUGCUGUGUGGUGGAUGAGAAGGGACAUCCCGUGUCUUGGCUGCUGACUGAUGAGUUCAAUGGCCUCAGAAUGGCUUACACUCAACCAAAGUACAGACGAAAAGGUCACUUUCAAGAUAUAAUGCAUACGCUGAUCCGGCAAAGAAUAUCGGAAGGUUUGCCCGUCUACUGCUAUCUCCAUAAAGACAACAUGGCCUCUAUUGGAAUCGCGAAUAAGGCUGGCCUCACCCGUGGUGAGGAGACAACCUCACGUUCAGCACGACCAUCUGCUACUAUCAAAAUCAGAUUGGGAGUAAUUUCAAGGAAAUCAUUGAGAAAUACAGCAUCUUCUCAAAAAACCAAAACUCUUUAAGAAAUCUGCUGACAACAACAUGAGUACAUCUGAAAAGGAAAUGAUCACCCAAAAAUGUGUCUUUGUUUGGAAACCACAGAUCUUGGAAUAAAAAUAAAAAUGUCCUUUUCAGAUUGCAUUCUUUCAAUUUCCAUCCACUGUUUGUCCUUUACAAGGCCAAAGAGGAUUCUGUGCCCGUUCCAAAGGUUUGACGACCACUUGGGCUUUUAGUUCAAUUGAAACACAAUUUUGUCUUUGGAAAAACCUGUGUUUUUUUUUUUUUUUUUUAUUCUGUCAUCUUUUUAAAACAAUGGUCACACUUGAUCAGGACAUGGAUGAUUGACAAUACAGCAACAGGUGUGCUAGGGUAUGCAUCUAAGGGUUAAAAAGAAUUUUCCAGGGUGUGGUUACAUAAGAAAAUGUGUAUAACUGCACCUGCACACCGGAGCUGAACAGUUUGAGACAAACCGUCGACUAAAAUGAUCAUCUUGAAGGCAUUCAAGGACCUGACGCUGAUGAAAAAUAUUCUUUAUCAAGAGUUACCCCAGUCCAUUAGUGUAAUGUUCUUGGUGGAUUGCAUCAUAUGCUGCAAAACAAUGUGUUUCAACUAAAGAUGUGCGUCGACUCCUGGCCUACGUUCAGCACGACCAUCUGCUACUAUCAAAAUCAGAUUGGGAGUAAUUUCAAGGAAAUCAUUGAGAAAUACAGCAUCUUCUCAAAAAACCAAAACUCUUUAAGAAAUCUGCUGACUGAUGACAAACUCAUCAAGUGGAGAGACGGACUUGAAUUCGAAGUUGCAAAUCAUCACUCUCAAAUCGUCCGUGAAAUUGCUUCUCUCAGAGGAUUCCAUGUUGAGGAAGAUGGUUACUAUUUCUACAUCAACUACAGCCCAGAGAAGUUGAUCAUGUCGGAGAAGACGUCCACGCUAGCAACAUCUACUUUGAAUGAGUCCCAUGCAGAGCUUGUGGUCCAACAGUUGCCUUAUGCAGGAAGCAACGAGAUCAAUCGAGUGAAAGCAUAUAUCCGACAUCUGCCAAACCGCUGUGUGGUGGAUGAGAAGGGACAUCCCGUGUCUUGGGUGCUGACUAAUGAGUUCAAUGAGCUCGCAAUGGGCUACUCUCACCCAAAAUACAGACGUAAAGGUCACAAUGGCCAUUUGCUGUUUACUUUGGUCCGACAAAAAAUGUCUGAAGGUUUGCCCGUCUUCUGCCAAAUCCAUAAAGACAACGCGACCCCUAUUAGGAUGCUGAGUAAGGCUGGCUUCACCCGUGGUGUGGAGACGACCUAUCUGGUGGUGAAGGCUAAGGGGUAAACUUGCAAAUAAAACUAUUUGCUUUGAAACCAUAGACCCUGAAUUAAUAUAUCUUUAUAACAACAUCAAUAGAUGACCUUGAUACUAGGUCUACAUUUUUGGGCCUCAUCAUGAAUAUUAAAAUAUUCUUCUAAUGAGAAAGAGCAGCAGUGUUGAAAAUAGCACAAGAAGAUUUAUCUUUCCAAAGCUACAGAGAGAAAAUCUGGAGAAGACAAAUUUAGGUGUUGUAAUUCGUCAAUUAAAGCCAAUAUAUUUUCCAAGUCAGGACUGACUACCCCCGAUUCAAAUAUAGUUCUUAGUGAUAAAUUCAAUAAAAUGGUACUUUGCAGUUAAACACUGGAUGUAAUGCACUCCUGAAAAAUUAAAGCCAGAACAAAAAUGUCAGUUCAACAUUCAUCUCAGCGACCAAAUAUGGUUAUACAAUCAAGUUAAGGUGGAAGAGAUAAAUUGGCCUAAGUGGAGCCGCUAUUCCCUGCAGUUUGAACAGUGUGAAACAAAUGUCCUGUUUGUUUCAACCCAUAAUAACAAACUAUCAGUUCCAAUUAGUGUUUGUGUAACCAUUCACCUGCAACUUCAAAGUUGUAAUCUUUAAAUAUAACCCAAUGUGGGCGGACUGAAGUCCUGCUUGUACUGUAUAUUAGCAUUUAAUGCAUGCUAUUUCUUUUAAAAUGGUAAUUUUCACAACAGAGCAAAAUGUUAAUCAGACUUGUAACCAUAGAUACAUUGGGGAUCUUGUGAUGAAAGUUGCAGAGGCUCUUUAAAUGUUUUUGACACAAUGUCAAAUAAAAUAUGCUAACUGAAUUUGGACUACAUUCUCAGUAAAUGCAAUUUUCAGUUAUUUUUGUUAUCAGUGGUUUCAACAUUCGUUUUAUACCAGGAGGAUUAUAUGAGAACAAGAUGUCCUGUGAAAAUACAUAUAAUACUAUAUUUACAAAAGGUUUCUCUCUUUUUAAGACAGAAUAUCUCUCACGGCAAUAUGUUUCUAGUUAUCGGAGAUGUGACAUCUUUGAAUAAAUGUGGGUAGGAUGAGAAUGGAGAGGAUGUCUACUUUCUAUGUAUAUGUUAUUUUCUUAAUACAGUAGAUUACCACAAAAAGCUUGUAAAAUUAUAUGCGCAAAACAUGUUGACGCUAUUGGACGAACAGAAAAGCAAAAAAUGCAUUCUGUCAGCCCACCUCAGUAGACAUCAUUUCAGUUAACAUCAAAGAAAUAACUGCUUAUGCGGCUCGCUUCUUUUUUCUUUGGCUUUUUGAAGACUGAAGAAAGAAAAAGAUGUGCGGGAGAAAUGAAGCAUAUAACCUUGAUAUUAAAGAAAUCUGUCCAA